RNAcentral lists this ribosomal RNA (753 nucleotides) under uncultured Verrucomicrobiota bacterium. RNAcentral describes it as "bacterial SSU rRNA". It matches the Rfam family "Bacterial small subunit ribosomal RNA", at positions 1 to 747 of the family's 1533-position model. Lineage: Bacteria; Pseudomonadati; Verrucomicrobiota. The record is from RNAcentral.
CCGCGGGAUUCCUGGCUCAGAACGAACGCUGGCGGCGUGGAUAAGACAUGCAAGUCGAACGCGACUUACAGCGAUAGCAAUAUCAUUGUAAGUUGAGUGGCGAAAGGGUGCGUAACACGUGGGAAUUUACCAAAAAGUGGGGAAUAGCUUGGCGAAAGCCAAAUUAAUACCGCAUGUGGUCGCAAGACCAAAGCCGGGGACCGCAAGGCCUGGCGCUUUUUGAGAAGCCCGCGGCCCAUCAGCUAGUUGGCGAGGUAAAAGCUCACCAAGGCUAUGACGGGUAGCUGGUCUGAGAGGACGACCAGCCACACUGGAACUGAGACACGGUCCAGACACCUACGGGUGGCAGCAGUCGAGAAUUUUUCACAAUGGACGAAAGUCUGAUGGAGCGACGCCGCGUGGAGGAUGAAGGUUUUCGGAUUGUAAACUCCUGUCACUGCAGAACAAGGAUAUGUUUAUGAAUAGUAAAUGUAUUUGAUGGUAUGCGGAGAGGAAGGGACGGCUAACUCUGUGCCAGCAGCCGCGGUAAGACAGAGGUCCCGAGCGUUGUUCGGAUUCAUUGGGCGUAAAGGGUGUGUAGGAGGUCGGGUAAGUCAGGUGUGAAAUCUCACAGCUUAACUGUGAAACUGCGCUUGAUACUGCUCGGCUAGAGGAUCGGAGGGGGUAUCGGAAUUUAUGGUGUAGCAGUGAAAUGCGUAGAUAUCAUAAGGAACACCGGUGGCGAAGGCGGAUACCUGGAAGAUUCCUGACUCU